CUUGUUGGUAGUGUAAUGGACUACCAAGGCGACGAUGGGUAGCUGGAUCGAGAGGUUGACCAGCCACACUGGGACUGAGAUACGGCCCAGACUCCUACGGGAGGCAGCAGUAAGGAAUCUUCCACAAUGGACGAAAGUCUGAUGGAGCAACGCCGCGUGCAGGAUGACGGCCUUCGGGUUGUAAACUGCUUUUAUAUGGGAAGAUUAUGACGGUACCAUAUGAAUAAGGACCGGCUAACUACGUGCCAGCAGCCGCGGUAAUACGUAGGGUCCAAGCGUUAUCCGGAAUCACUGGGCGUAAAGCGUGCGUAGGUGGCGUGUUAAGUGUGAUGUUAAAUCGCGGGGCUCAACCCUGUCGGUGCAUCGCAUACUGGCAUUCUAGAGGACAGCAGAGGCAAGUGGAACUCGUAGUGUAGCAGUGAAAUGCGUAGAUAUUACGAAGAACACCAAUGGCGAAGGCAGCUUGCUGGGCUACUCCUGACACUGAGGUACGAAAGCGUGGGGAGCGAACAGGAUUAGAUACCCUGGUAGUCCACGCCGUAAACGAUGCAUACUAGUCUUAUGGGGUAUCGACCCCCUGUGAGACGCAGCUAACGCGAUAAGUAUGCCGCCUGGGAAGUACGGCCGCAAGGCUAAAACUCAAAGGAAUUGACG
This 654-nucleotide ribosomal RNA is filed under the name uncultured bacterium. RNAcentral's name for it is "SSU rRNA". It matches the Rfam family "Bacterial small subunit ribosomal RNA", at positions 245 to 915 of the family's 1533-position model. The record is from RNAcentral.